This 473-nucleotide ribosomal RNA is filed under the name uncultured Marmoricola sp. RNAcentral's name for it is "bacterial SSU rRNA". It matches the Rfam family "Bacterial small subunit ribosomal RNA", at positions 39 to 525 of the family's 1533-position model. Lineage: Bacteria; Bacillati; Actinomycetota; Actinomycetes; Propionibacteriales; Nocardioidaceae. The record is from RNAcentral.
CCGGGGUGGCUUAAACAGGCAAGUCGAGCGGGUAAGGCUCCUUCGGGGGUACACGAGCGGCGAACGGGUGAGUAACAUGUGGGUGACCUGCCCUCAGCUCUGGGAUAAGCCCGGGAAACUGGGUCUAAUACCGGAUAUGACCACUUCACGCAUGUGAUGGUGGUGGAAAGUUCCGGCGGUGAUGGAUGAGCUCGCGGCCUAUCAGCUUGUUGGUGGGGUAAUGGCCUACCAAGGCUUCGACGGGUAGCCGGCCUGAGAGGGUGACCGGCCACACUGGGACUGAGACACGGCCCAGACUCCUACGGGAGGCAGCAGUGGGGAAUAUUGGACAAUGGGCGAAAGCCUGAUCCAGCAACGCCGCGUGAGGGAUGACGGCCUUCGGGUUGUAAACCUCUUUCAGCAGGGACGAAGCGCAAGUGACGGUACCUGCAGAAGAAGCGCCGGCCAACUACGUGCCAGCAGCCGCGGUAAUA